UGCAUUUUUCUGCUAGAAACUGUUAACAUGGCUCACGGAAAUUGUUAAGUCAUCAUUGGUCAUUUUUAGAGGAUUUAUGUGGUGUGGGGACUGAUUUUCGUAUAUUUUUAUCAGAAGGAUAUUAUUUAAAUCUAGGGUUCUACCUUGAUUGGAACAGAGCAGACAGCUCAGGCUUGUGGUUGAGGUGCCACAUCAGAUAAGAUGUGUACCCUUUUUUAUUGCCAUGUCACCUAAAUUAUGACAUAACUUUCCAUAUCCGCAAAACUGAUGACUUAGACAAUCCAUGAGCCACAUCAGCUAUUUCUGUGCUCUGGUUGACGGCAAGCUAACAUUGACAAGAUUUUAUAAGCUCACAAACCACACAAUUGAAUGUUUAGGGGCAAAAGUUGAAAUCAGCCAAUAAGUUAGAUGACCAAAGUCGUAGUUUCACCUGCCAUUUUCUGUUCUCUCUUCUUCGUUUUUCCUUUUUUUUUUUUUUGGGUUAAUGCAUGAUUGGUCUGAUGAAAGCACUCUAACCAAGCCAAAAAUAAAAUGUUUGUGGUCAAAAUAGAAGUAUUUUGGUCAAGAAUCUUCAAAGUCACAUAUAGAAUCUUGUAAUUAAUUUGCAAAGUGAACUUAGUGUGUUCUUGAACCUCGUCUUUUGGAAUGCAGUUUCUGGGCAAUCCAUUUAGAUAUCAUUGCAAAAGUCACUAUGGUCACUGCAUUCCAGUGCAGUGGAAUCUUAAUAAGAAGGAAUAUGUCUAAUUGAAAGUAUUAUUCUAAAUUAAAGGCCUGUGAAAAUCUGAUGGUUGGUACACAAUCAGGCGACGUUUUUGUUAGAUGCUCAACUCCAUGCAUUGUAACAUUUCAUUGGUGAACUCAUUUCAUCUUUUGUAUGUGAAAAGGAAGGAGCAACAGAGGAAGAGAUUGAUCGAUUACCAAAGUACAAAUUCCGAAAGAUAGGUGACGUUGAGAAACUUAAUGGGGACACUCAAGAUUCUUUUGGAGGAAUGAUGACUGAAUGCGACACAGAUACUCCCACAGAACGGGUUCUGUCCCAAGAGGAUGCUGAAUGUUGCAUUUGCCUUUCUGCAUAUGAUGAUGGGACUGAACUGCGUGAACUUCCUUGCAAUCACCAUUUCCACUGCACCUGCAUAGACAAGUGGUUACACAUCAAUGCGACAUGCCCUCUCUGCAAAUUCAACAUUUUGAAGUCUGUGGACCAAAGUGGUAGUGAAGAGGUAUAGAAAAUGGAAGUUUCCCAACCAAGUCCUGAUCAGAGCCUCCUUUCUAGCAUCUGUGUAUCUCAUGCGCACUUGACAUAUGCUGUCAGCAGCCUGGACCUUCCAUGCUUGCUCUUGAGUGACUUCCAGUGGGGGAGUUCUAACAGCAAAAUGUAUAUCAAGAGGGAAAGAAAUUUCCCACAAACUGGGUUGUAGGAGUCUUAUACAGUAUUUCUAUUCUUGUUUUCUAAUCCUCUUCUUUAACAUAUAUGGGGUUUAUAAAUCAUGCAUAAAGAGUACUCUAGCAUGUUUCCCCGAUAAAUUGUAAAAUUAGUAGUUCUUUUGAUUUGUCAUGUUAAAUAUUAUGGAACUUAAUCUUAUAAUGCUGAAAAAAAGAAGGAAACCCCCUUUAUUUGUA
Molecule: non-coding RNA, 1620 nt
Organism: Corylus avellana
Lineage: Eukaryota; Viridiplantae; Streptophyta; Magnoliopsida; Fagales; Betulaceae
Source: RefSeq, a predicted model, not a curated record